UCCUACGGGAGGCAGCAGUGGGGGAUAUUGCACAAUGGGGGGAACCCUGAUCCAGCCAUGCCGCGUGUGUGAAGAAGGCCUUCGGGUUGUAAAGCACUUUCAGUGGUGAGGAAAGGUUAACGGUUAAUACCCGUUAGCUGUGACGUUAGCCACAGAAGAAGCACCGGCUAACUCCGUGCCAGCAGCCGCGGUAAUACGGAGGGUGCGAGCGUUAAUCGGAAUUACUGGGCGUAAAGCGCACGCAGGCGGUUUGUUAAGCAAGAUGUGAAAGCCCCGGGCUCAACCUGGGAACUGCAUUUUGAACUGGCAGACUAGAGUCUUGGAGAGGGGGGUGGAAUUCCAGGUGUAGCGGUGAAAUGCGUAGAGAUCUGGAGGAACAUCAGUGGCGAAGGCGGCCCCCUGGCCAAAGACUGACGCUCAUGUGCGAAAGUGUGGGUAGCGAACAGGAUUAGAUACCCUGGUAGUCCACACCGUAAACGCUGUCUAUUAGCUGUCUGUGUAUUUAAUACGUGGGUAGCGUAGCUAACGCGCUAAGUAGACCGCCUGGGGAGUACGGCCGCAAGGUUAAAACUCAAAUGAAUUGACGG
RNAcentral lists this ribosomal RNA (587 nucleotides) under uncultured bacterium. RNAcentral's name for it is "bacterial SSU rRNA". It matches the Rfam family "Bacterial small subunit ribosomal RNA", at positions 337 to 916 of the family's 1533-position model. The record is from RNAcentral.